This 2734-nucleotide long non-coding RNA is filed under the name Homo sapiens (human). Its description in RNAcentral is "HSALNT0017994". Lineage: Eukaryota; Metazoa; Chordata; Mammalia; Primates; Hominidae. The record is from RNAcentral.
CUAUAAAAGACUUGACGAAGCAUGAAGUCCUUUCAAGGUCUGGUACCUGCUUAUUUUUCCAUUCUCAUUCCCAUCCCUCCCCGUUACUCUGUUCCCUCUAGUGCUGCCAGAAGACCAUUGUUCCAAAAUCGCAUUAUAUUUUUUCAUGCCUGUAUGCUUUUCAAUGCUAUUCCUUUGUGAAUGACUACCCAUCCUUUAAGACCUAUCUCUGAGGUCACCUCUUCCUGGCAGCCUUUCCUGAUCAACCCAUCUGGGUUGGAUGCCCCUUCUCUAUUCUCUAUAAGCUCCCUGUGCAUUUCUGACUUAGCAUCAUCACACUGCAUUGAAGUGAUGUGUCCAGCUGCCUGUUUAUCCCUCUUGACUGUGACCUGGAAGCCAAAGACUGUCUCUGAUUCAUCCUUACAUCUGCAGCCCCCAGAACAGUACCUGACAUAAAAUUGAUGCUCAAUAAAUGUUUCCCGAAAGGUUAUAUUAAAACUUAUAAACUUUAUGAAUGAGAGAGGCCAUAAGGUUGAGAAAUAUCUGGUGCUUUGUGUUAACAUGGACGUUUCAGACAUUUUAGACCAAAAGACACAUUUUUAAUGGUCUCUCUACAGAGGAGUAGACCAAAAGAUUCCACGGGCCCUCUGAUCUCCCCCCUGCUCAGUAGAGAGAAUUGAAGGCAAUUCCCUGAGGAAAGCAUGUCUAGGAUACUGCUGAGGACUUUGCUUCAUUAAGAGGUGGUGAGCAUUGGUGUUGUUGAAGCCUCCCGGAAAUGAUUCUUCUCUAGACGUGAGAGACACCAUCAUGUAGGAAAUGUGAAUCUUUUACCCAUCUCUUCAGGACUCCCGAAGACAGAGAUGAGCCUUCUGUUCCCAGUGAUCACAGGGCCCCAGGAUGAAGCUAGCCUCAAGAUAAUAAAUCAGUAAAAGUACAAAGUUGGUAGAUAAAGGAAAAUGGUAUGCUUGAUGUCAUAUGUUUGAAGACUGUUAAAACAUUUGAGUCUUCCAAGAAGUUUGAUUUGCAGAAUUGGCUCAGAAUGCCUGGAAUAGAAGCACAUACCUGAUAAAAAAAAAAAGCUGGAUAAAUGCUGCUAAUUGGGCAAUAGAAAGUACUGGAACAAUGGGCUGUUGGGACAGCCUCAGGAGAGGUCUUCUAAGAGACUGCAGAGAUCAUCAGUUCCAACCCUCUCAGUUAAGAGUAAAGAAGCUCAAUCAAAAGGAGACAACGACUUCACAAAAGCAAGGCUAGAAAAAAGGUUACUUGACAAUUAGUUGUGCAGUGUGAGUGCUUGGUCUCCUCUUUACCUGGUGUCUCUAUUAUCUAGGAAAGGAAAUAGAUAUGGUCAAGUCUAGUUUUGAAAGGAUCCUAAAUACAGAGAUACAAUAAUCGGACCCUGGCCACCAAACCCCAUAUCAAUCAUGUCUUCUAAAGAGUGUGGGGCUUCAGACAAAGUGGAGAUGGGAGUUGAGAAACAAUUGGGAAGUUUUGCCACAGGCUGAGCUCCUGAGGUCCCUGUGAAGUUUUCCAGCCACUUUCAAGGGUAUUAAUUCAUUCUUGCUGUGAAGCACAUGUUGCCCAUUUUGCAGUGAGAAAAUGGCAAAACUCAGGGAGAUUUGGAGACUACUCCAAUGAAGCCUAAAGCCAGCAAGUACCAGAGUUGGGAUUAAAGCACAGGUCCUCUGAUUCCAGUUACUUCUAUCUCACUCAAAUUACACUUUGGUAAAAUUCUGUUUUAGGCCCAGACGUCCUUCCUGCCCCUCUAUCUCCCCAGAAGUCUCUCCUCUCUCUUGGCUGGGCCCUUAUACAGUUUCCAAACGCCUGGCAUUUCUAACUGUAAGGCCUUGCCCUCUCAGGAAUACUCCACGACCUUCUCCCAUUCCCUCCCCAUUCUUCCUCAAAACAAAUUGAUUUCUUUUCCUGUUUCUGCUCAGCUCUUAUAUAUAAACUUUGUCACCCUAAAAAGCAUAAACUUCCUAUAAACAAAUUUCCACUAUUGCCUCUACGGAUGAUCGUUUCACCUUCAGGAAAUCAUUGCACUUCCCAAGGCUGCUUCUUCAUUUAAAAAACAAAAACCAGCCAUGAUGUCUAGUUUGUGACUUACAUUGAAGGAACAUAUGUAAAUCCCAUCUAGUCAAUGCCUAACAUGGAGUGGAUGCUCAAUAUGUAUUUAUUAAGAGAAAUUUAGGCUGAGAUCUUUUCUUAAGGCACCUCUCCAUAGUUUUUCCUUUCUUAUGCAGAGCAAUGUAUUGCCCCCAAACCCAUAUCUAAACACCCCACUUUACCCAUUAAACAGGGGACCCUCCGGUUGUCAGGAUCUAGUCUUUUGAGUGGCUGGCAGUUUGAAGUUGGAGGUUGAUUGUUAAUAAAUGAUUUUGUUCCUUUCACACAUAAUUUUUUUUUCACUGUCAGAGAGUAAAAGAACUUUGCAACAGGCAGAUCUGGAAAGGGGAGUCAUUGAAGCAUAGGAAAAAAAUGGAAGCCCACCUUCAUUUCUUUUUCCUGCUAAAAAAUAGCUCAUUGGUCUUCAUUGGUCCAAGUUUUCUGCUCUGGGUGACUUCUGGGACAACACUGUUAAAUAAAACUCUUGAACUUACUAUUGUCUCUUUUUUUCUUUUUGUAACAACCCUAGAUGCAGUCUUAGUAGGAAAUACCUUGUUUACCAUCUGAUGACUGUAUUAUUAUUAUUAUUUUAGUUUAUUUAUUUUCUACAGAAGGAGCAUAGCAGCUAAAGAAAUACCUAUUUUGGCUGGAC